AGUGAACGCUGGCGGUAGGCCUAACACAUGCAAGUCGAACGGCAGCACAGUAAGAGCUUGCUCUUACGGGUGGCGAGUGGCGGACGGGUGAGGAAUACAUCGGAAUCUACUUUUUCGUGGGGGAUAACGUAGGGAAACUUACGCUAAUACCGUAUACGACCUACGGGUGAAAGCAGGGGAUCUUCGGACCUUGCGCGAUUGAAUGAGCCGAUGUCGGAUUAGCUAGUUGGCGGGGUAAAGGCCCACCAAGGCGACGAUCCGUAGCUGGUCUGAGAGGAUGAUCAGCCACACUGGAACUGAGACACGGUCCAGACUCCUACGGGAGGCAGCAGUGGGGAAUAUUGGACAAUGGGCGAAAGCCUGAUCCAGCCAUACCGCGUGGGUGAAGAAGGCCUUCGGGUGGUAAAGCACUUUUGUUGGGAAAGAAAAGCAGAAGGUUAAUACCCCGCUGUUCUGACGGUACCCAAAGAAUAAGCACCGGCUAACUUCGUG
RNAcentral lists this ribosomal RNA (492 nucleotides) under uncultured bacterium. RNAcentral describes it as "partial 16S ribosomal RNA". It matches the Rfam family "Bacterial small subunit ribosomal RNA", at positions 29 to 507 of the family's 1533-position model. The record is from RNAcentral.